Molecule: ribosomal RNA, 429 nt
Filed under: uncultured bacterium
Lineage: Bacteria
Description: bacterial SSU rRNA
Rfam family: Bacterial small subunit ribosomal RNA
Source: RNAcentral
UAGGGAAUUGUUCGCAAUGGGCGCAAGCCUGACGACGCAACGCCGCGUGGAGGAUGAAGACCUUCGGGUCGUAAACUCCUUUCGACCGAGAUGAACACUCACCGGCCUAACACGCUGGUGAGCUGACAGUAUCGAGGGAAGAAGCCCCGGCUAACUCCGUGCCAGCAGCCGCGGUAAUACGGGGGGGGCAAGCGUUGUUCGGAAUUACUGGGCGUAAAGGGUUCGUAGGUGGCCCGCUAAGUCAGACGUGAAAUCCCUCAGCUCAACUGGGGAACUGCGUCUGAGACUGGCGGGCUUGAGUGCAGGAGAGGAACGCGGAAUUCCAGGUGUAGCGGUGAAAUGCGUAGAUAUCUGGAGGAACACCGGUGGCGAAGGCGGCGUUCUGGACUGUUACUGACACUGAGGAACGAAAGCCAGGGGAGCAAACGG